RNAcentral lists this transfer RNA (83 nucleotides) under Myxococcales bacterium. Its description in RNAcentral is "tRNA-Ala". The record is from RNAcentral. Lineage: Bacteria; Pseudomonadati; Myxococcota; Myxococcia; Myxococcales.
GGAGGGAGCUCCCUCGGCGUCCGAGCCGAGAGAGCCUCGCACUGGCAGUGCGAAGCUCGGGGGUUCGUUCCCCCUCAGCUCCG